UUAGAUUGUGUUUUUUCGUCGACCUGUUAGGUUUAAGGAUUAUACACUCGUUUACUGUAUUGUUAGAGCAGUGAUUGUGUGCUUAGUUAUUAGAUUUUGCUUCUAUUCAAGAGCGUAGAGUUCAAUUUAAGUAGGUAUGUUCUUUUAUAUUUAGCUUUUAUUAUCGAAUUUCUAUAAAAUAUUAUAAUAUUGAUUUCUUAAUGAUCAGUUAACUACGUGAUUAUAUAAUAUGUUUUUAAUCUAAAUUAAAUGUGAUUUGUAAAAUAUAGAAGAAAAAAAUUAAAGAAACUUAAAAAAAAAAAUUCAGCCCACCCCAACCUAAAAUCUUAGAUCCGCCAUUACUCUUUUACUCCAAAGCCAUAAUUGACAUAUCCACUAGGCCUCGGGAUGGCCCAAUUUUUUGGUCCAUAAUGACUUUAUGUAUCCUCAAUGUGAUUUAAUGGAGAGAAUUAAUACCAAUAUUAUGUUUUUUGGUGAGAAGAAUACCAACUAUUUGUGAUCACACCAGCUACUGAGAAUUAUGUGAAUUUCAUUGUACAAUAUCAUGUUGUAUUCAAGAAAGAAAGGACAUACAUGCAUAUACAUCUUGCUUUAUAAUGAAGAACUCCAUCUCUAAGAUGAGGCACUUGCAUGUAAUGCUACCAAAGAAGCAUAUAUUCCAUUCUUGAUUUUUGUUAAACUUUCAUGUUUCCCUUUCUCUGCAAUGACUCCAUUUUUUACCACUGCAAUCAAAUCAGAAGCUUUUAUUGUGGAUAACCGAUGGGCAACCACCACUGUGGUUCGAUCAACCAUAACUCGGUCCAGUGCGUCUUGAACCACUCGUUCGGAUUCAGCAUCAAGAGCACUUGUGGCUUCAUCUAGUAGUAAUAUCUUUGGUGCCUUCAUUAUA
Molecule: long non-coding RNA, 889 nt
Filed under: Fragaria vesca (wild strawberry)
Lineage: Eukaryota; Viridiplantae; Streptophyta; Magnoliopsida; Rosales; Rosaceae
Description: long non-coding RNA (FVES_LNC001967)
Source: RNAcentral